UACGAAGGGGGCUAGCGUUGCUCGGAAUCACUGGGCGUAAAGGCGCGUAGGCGGCCAUUCAAGUCGGAGGUGAAAGCCCAGGGCUCAACCCUGGAAUUGCCUUCGAUACUGUCUGGCUAGAGACCGGAAGAGGUAAGUGGAACUGCGAGUGUAGAGGUGAAAUUCGUAGAUAUUCGCAAGAACACCAGUGGCAAAGGCGGCUUACUGGUCCGGUUCUGACGCUGAGGCACGAAAGCGUGGGGAGCAAACAGG
This 252-nucleotide ribosomal RNA is filed under the name uncultured bacterium. RNAcentral's name for it is "partial 16S ribosomal RNA". It matches the Rfam family "Bacterial small subunit ribosomal RNA", at positions 524 to 776 of the family's 1533-position model. The record is from RNAcentral.